Molecule: non-coding RNA, 482 nt
Organism: Picea glauca (white spruce)
Lineage: Eukaryota; Viridiplantae; Streptophyta; Pinopsida; Pinales; Pinaceae
Source: Rfam
AAUAUAUAGUUUUUGUUCAUGAUAUCAACAAGUGUCCCUGGUGUAGAUCUUGGUGGUAGUAGCAAAUAUUCAAAUAAGAACUUUGAAGAGUGAAGUGGGGAAAUGUUCUAUGUGAACAUCACUUGGACAUGGGUUAGUUGAUGCUAAGAGAUGGGGAAUCCUUGUAUCAAGGGUGCAAUCUUCAUGAACAUUGAAAGAGAAUUGGGUUAAUAUUCCCGAACCGGGACAUGGUGGUGGACGACAAUGUUAGGAAAUAUGGAGAUUUCAUCGGGGGCCUGGGAAGAGUUAUAUUUUCUUUUUAACGACUUUCCCACCUUGAAAUCGGUUCAACCAGAGAUAGGGUCCAACAUCUGGAAGAACACCACAUGUCUUGUGGUGUUUGGUGCCCCCUCGGUCGCCAUUGAAAAUAUGGAGAAUUGAGUACCACCCAUGCCCGAUUGUACUCAUAUAUGCCUCCUUGGGUGCUUCAAUGCCCACUAGGU